Molecule: long non-coding RNA, 584 nt
Organism: Bubalus bubalis (water buffalo)
Lineage: Eukaryota; Metazoa; Chordata; Mammalia; Artiodactyla; Bovidae
Exons: 2
Source: RefSeq, a predicted model, not a curated record
GGACCAGGAGCCUGUAUAGAACGUCUCUAGGCUUGUCCUCUGUCAUUUUAGCCUGUUUGAUGAAAGGCUGUGCACUGCAUCUUCCAACUGCCCUGUAAGCGCUUUACCCUGGAAGCUCUGCUCUGCCUGGGUGGGAAGUAGAAGCAGUCGCAUCCUCCUAUCCCUCGGGACCGGGACUCGGAGGUGCCGGUCUCUCCUGGGGCUCUCUCCGGGGGGAGGCGACGCCGCAGGCAGCGGCCAGAGAACCCGGAGAGCCUUAACGGAGGGGCGAACAGUACCGAUGGGGAAGGCGCUGCCGUUCCUGCCGCGAUCAGCUUCCCAUCACUUUUCCCGGGACUUUGCUCAUCAGCUGUCACACUCCCGGGAGAGGAGACUGAGAAGACGCACGAAAGGCCCCCAAAAGCGACCCCAGGAGAGCUCUCCUCUUAGGAUGGAGACCCAUUAGACCCCACCCCACUCUACCCACCGUUCCCAGCCCCCGGGAGUCAGCCCCGAGCCGCGGCUCCCAGCAGAGCCCCGGGGUUCUGCUGCGUCUGCUGGUGCCGAGCGGCGGGAGGCGUCUGCAAUAAAGGCACGGAUAAAAA